GGGAUAACAGACGGAAACGACUGACAACACCUGAUACAGUUGCCGGCACGCAUGUGUCUGGCAAUGAAAAGAGAUGCUGCGGGAGAGCUUUGCGUCCUAUUAGCUUGUUGGCGGGGUAACGGCCCACCAAGGCGAUGAUAGGUAGCCGGCCUGAGAGGGUGGACGGCCACAAGGGGACUGAGAUACGGCCCUUACUCCUACGGGAGGCAGCAGUGGGGAAUAUUGGACAAUGGGGGCAACCCUGAUCCAGCAAUUCUGUGUGCACGAUGAAGGUUUUCGGAUUGUAAAGUGCUUUCCAGCAGGGAAGAAGGAAGUGACGUACCUGCAGAAGAGCGACGCUAA
RNAcentral lists this ribosomal RNA (342 nucleotides) under Leptotrichia hofstadii. RNAcentral describes it as "bacterial SSU rRNA". It matches the Rfam family "Bacterial small subunit ribosomal RNA", at positions 140 to 500 of the family's 1533-position model. Lineage: Bacteria; Fusobacteriati; Fusobacteriota; Fusobacteriia; Fusobacteriales; Leptotrichiaceae. The record is from RNAcentral.